RNAcentral lists this transfer RNA (77 nucleotides) under Paracoccaceae bacterium. RNAcentral's name for it is "Rhodobacteraceae bacterium tRNA-Arg". It matches the Rfam family "tRNA". Rfam says of the family: Transfer RNA (tRNA) molecules are approximately 80 nucleotides in length. Their secondary structure includes four short double-helical elements and three loops (D, anti-codon, and T loops). Further hydrogen bonds mediate the characteristic L-shaped molecular structure. tRNAs have two regions of fundamental functional importance: the anti-codon, which is responsible for specific mRNA codon recognition, and the 3' end, to which the tRNAs corresponding amino acid is attached (by aminoacyl-tRNA synthetases). tRNAs cope with the degeneracy of the genetic code in two manners: having more than one tRNA (with a specific anti-codon) for a particular amino acid; and 'wobble' base-pairing, i.e. permitting non-standard base-pairing at the 3rd anti-codon position. The record is from RNAcentral. Lineage: Bacteria; Pseudomonadati; Pseudomonadota; Alphaproteobacteria; Rhodobacterales; Paracoccaceae.
GCCCGACUGGCGCAAUCGGAUAGCGCACCAGACUUCUAAUCUGGGGGUUCUGGGUUCAAGUCCCAGGUCGGGCUCAA